Molecule: ribosomal RNA, 489 nt
Filed under: uncultured bacterium
Lineage: Bacteria
Description: partial 16S ribosomal RNA
Rfam family: Bacterial small subunit ribosomal RNA
Source: RNAcentral
AUUGAACGCUGGCGGCAGGCCUAACACAUGCAAGUCGAACGGUAACAGGAAGAAGCUUGCUUCUUUGCUGACGAGUGGCGGACGGGUGAGUAAUGUCUGGGAAACUGCCUGAUGGAGGGGGAUAACUACUGGAAACGGUAGCUAAUACCGCAUAAUGUCGCAAGACCAAAGAGGGGGACCUUCGGGCCUCUUGCCAUCGGAUGUGCCCAGAUGGGAUUAGCUAGUAGGUGGGGUAACGGCUCACCUAGGCGACGAUCCCUGGCUGGUCUGAGAGGAUGACCAGCCACACUGGAACUGAGACACGGUCCAGACUCCUACGGGAGGCAGCAGUGGGGAAUAUUGCACAAUGGGCGCAAGCCUGAUGCAGCUAUGCCGCGUGUAUGAAGAAGGCCUGCGGGUUGUAAGUACUUUCAGCGGGGAGGAAGGGAGUAAAGUUAAUACCUUUGCUCAUUGACGUUACCCGCAGAAGAAGCACCGGCUAACUCCGUG